CAACCCCAUACCAGUUUGCGAACCAAAUGCCCCCUUAUUCUUUAGCCGCCGAAUUUCAUUCAUUACGCUCUUUCUCCCUCUUCCACCUUCGUCUUCUCUCACUGGAUGAUUGAUUACCAAUCUCACCAUAGAUUCUACUUUGUCACUCACUCUCAUUGACACUUCAAGUUUCUCACUCACUCACCCAAGUACCCGCUCAUCACCUACUCACCCUUGUCGGCGUUCAGGCCUAAUUUCAAUCAAUGUCUCACCGUUCCACGGUUCCACUACUUCCACUGAUCUAACGGCUAACCUACGUGCUCACCGCCACCUUCACUCACCGACUAUCACUCUUAAACCCAAGGGUUGUGGUUUAAUUUGAGGAGUUAAGCUGAGGAGAAACAAGGUAGUUUUUGAAAACGAAAUGGGGUGUCCUGUUCAGGUGGCGGCAGGUCUGUUAAGAUUGGUGGAGGAGUAUGGGGAGUAUGCUGUGAAAGUUUUCAAGCAGAACAUGGUUGUACAGCCCGUCUUAGCAAGUUCGUGGAGGUCCCCAAGGGCAGGAUAUGUGAAGAUUAAUUGUGAUGCUCAUAUGGACAGCGUGACUGGGCUUAGAGUGGUGAUUCGUGAUGAAUUUCGUUCAAUUCUUGCUGCUUCGGUGAGGAACAAACCUGCCUGCUCUGGCAGAAGCUGCAGCAUGCCGCUUCGGUAUGCAACUCGCUGUUCGUUUGGGCUAUAGCAAUGUGAUGGUGGAGAGCGAUUCGCUGGUGGUUGUCAAUGGGCUGAAGAAAAAGUUGCAGGGAUAUAAUCCUUUCUUUUUAUUACUUGAUGAUAUUAGUACUCUGUCUAGUGAAAUUAAUGCCUUUUCUGUUUCUCAUGUGAAAAGGUCGGGAAAUACUCUUGCUCACCCUAGAAGUUUCCUUUAGUAGCAAGUGGAAUCCUUUACUCAAGGUCAAUUGAACAUCUAUGAAAAGUUGCUUCAGUCUUCUAUCUCAAAGGUGCUGCUGCUGCUGCUGCUGCUUGUGUUUUUGUCGUUGCUGCUGCUCAUGCUGAUGGUACUGUUGCUGCAUACGUGCUGUUGUUGAUACUCGUGCUGUUGUUGUUGCUGCUGCAUACGUGUGGUUGAUGCUACUUGUGCUGUUACUGCCUACUUCGCCGUUUAUGUUGCUGCCUACUCAACACCAUAUCUAUUUCUGCCAAAUUGACACCAUUGCUGUUGUUGCCUUCUAUACUUCUUUGGCCGUUAGAACUCAGAAUUCGUAAUGUUGUUUGUUAAUAUCUGUAGUGGCUGUGCUCCUGUUGUAUCAUCUUAAGCUACUGAAAUGUCUAAUGUUGUCCAAUUGUAAUAUUUAUCUUUUUUAUGAAAGUGUACUCUGCCAUGCUAUUAAUAAUGGAAAUACAAUUUUUUCUAUAAUUAAAAAUAAGAUUUCAGUC
Molecule: long non-coding RNA, 1410 nt
Organism: Chenopodium quinoa (quinoa)
Lineage: Eukaryota; Viridiplantae; Streptophyta; Magnoliopsida; Caryophyllales; Amaranthaceae
Exons: 2
Source: RefSeq, a predicted model, not a curated record